This 401-nucleotide ribosomal RNA is filed under the name uncultured bacterium. RNAcentral's name for it is "bacterial SSU rRNA". It matches the Rfam family "Bacterial small subunit ribosomal RNA", at positions 29 to 416 of the family's 1533-position model. The record is from RNAcentral.
AGCGAACGUUAGCGGCACGCCUAACACAUGCAAGUCGCACGAGAAAGGGAGCAAUCCUGAGUAGAGUGGCGCACGGGUGCGUAACACGUAGAUAACCUGCCCUUUGGAGGGGGAUAACGUUCCGAAAGGAGCGCUAAUACCGCAUACAGCAAGAGUCGGUUCGCCGAUUUUUGGCAAAGGUAGGGACCCGCAAGGGCCUACCGCCAGAGGAGGGGUCUGCGGCCCAUCAGCUAGUUGGGAGGUAAUGGCUCACCAAGGCAGAGACGGGUAGCUGGUCUGAGAGGAUGAUCAGCCACACUGGUACUGGAACACGGACCAGACUCCUACGGGAGGCAGCAGUGGGGAAUCUUGGUCAAUGGGCGCAAGCCUGAACCAGCGAUGCCGCGUGAGUGAUGAAGGCC